CCUACGGGUGGCAGCAGUGGGGGAUAUUGCACAAUGGGGGGAACCCUGAUGCAGCGACGCCGCGUGGGUGAAGAAGCGCCUCGGCGCGUAAAGCUCUGUCAGCAGGGAAGAAAAUGACGGUACCUGCAGAAGAAGCCCCGGCUAACUACGUGCCAGCAGCCGCGGUAAUACGUAGGGGGCAAGCGUUAUCCGGAUUUACUGGGUGUAAAGGGGGUGCAGGCGGCGAUGCAAGCUAGGGGUGAAAGCCCGGGGCCCAACCCCGGGAUUGCUCUUGGAACUGUGUGGCUGGAGUGCAGGAGGGGCAGGCGGAAUUCCUGGUGUAGCGGUGAAAUGCGUAGAGAUCAGGAAGAACACCAGUGGCGAAGGCGGCCUGCUGGACUGAAACUGACGUUGAGGCCCGAAAGCGUGGGGAGCAAACAGGAUUAGAUACCCUUGUAGUC
RNAcentral lists this ribosomal RNA (440 nucleotides) under uncultured bacterium. RNAcentral describes it as "partial 16S ribosomal RNA". It matches the Rfam family "Bacterial small subunit ribosomal RNA", at positions 338 to 795 of the family's 1533-position model. The record is from RNAcentral.